Molecule: ribosomal RNA, 429 nt
Filed under: bacterium
Lineage: Bacteria
Description: partial 16S ribosomal RNA
Rfam family: Bacterial small subunit ribosomal RNA
Source: RNAcentral
UAGGGAAUCUUCGGCAAUGGGGGCAACCCUGACCGAGCAACGCCGCGUGAGUGAAGAAGGUUUUCGGAUCGUAAAGCUCUGUUGUAAGAGAAGAACGUGUGUGAGAGUGGAAAGUUCACACAGUUACGGUAACUUACCAGAAAGGGACGGCUAACUACGUGCCAGCAGCCGCGGUAAUACGUAGGUCCCGAGCGUUGUCCGGAUUUAUUGGGCGUAAAGCGAGCGCAGGCGGUUUAAUAAGUCUGAAGUUAAAGGCAGUGGCUUAACCAUUGUUCGAUUUGGAAACUGUUAAACUUGAGUGCAGAAGGGGAGAGUGGAAUUCCAUGUGUAGCGGUGAAAUGCGUAGAUAUAUGGAGGAACACCGGUGGCGAAAGCAGCUCUCUGGUCUGUAACUGACGCUGAGGCUCGAAAGCGUGGGGAGCAAACAGG